AAGCAUCUAAGCGGGAAGCCAACCCCAAAACAAGAUCUCUCUUUUCCCUUCGGGGAAACAGUAGACUCCUUGAAGACUACAAGGUCGAUAGGCCGGGUGUGUAAGCGCAGUAAUGUGUUCAGCUAACCGGUACUAAUCAGUCGUGAGGCUUGACCUUUAAAUUUUCGGG
RNAcentral lists this ribosomal RNA (169 nucleotides) under Nitrospina sp. Its description in RNAcentral is "partial 23S ribosomal RNA". It matches the Rfam family "Bacterial large subunit ribosomal RNA", at positions 2775 to 2925 of the family's 2925-position model. The record is from RNAcentral. Lineage: Bacteria; Pseudomonadati; Nitrospinota; Nitrospinia; Nitrospinales; Nitrospinaceae.